RNAcentral lists this ribosomal RNA (458 nucleotides) under uncultured bacterium. RNAcentral's name for it is "partial 16S ribosomal RNA". It matches the Rfam family "Bacterial small subunit ribosomal RNA", at positions 338 to 795 of the family's 1533-position model. The record is from RNAcentral.
CCUACGGGUGGCAGCAGUGGGGAAUAUUGCACAAUGGGGGAAACCCUGAUGCAGCGACGCCGCGUGAGUGAAGAAGUAAUUCGUUACGUAAAGCUCUAUCAGCAGGGAAGAAACACUGACCUUACGGUCAGCAGACGGUACCUGAGUAAGACGCCCCGGCUAACUACGUGCCAGCAGCCGCGGUAAUACGUAGGGGGCAAGCGUUAUCCGGAUUUACUGGGUGUAAAGGGGGCGUAGACGGUGCGCCAAGUUUGGAGUGAAAUGCCGCAGCUUAACUGCGGAACUGCUUUGGAAACUGGCGAACUAGAGUGCGGGAGGGGUAAGCGGAAUUCCUAGUGUAGCGGUGAAAUGCGUAGAUAUUAGGAGGAACACCGGUGGCGAAGGCGGCUUACUGGACCGUAACUGACGUUGAGGCUCGAAAGCGUGGGGAGCAAACAGGAUUAGAUACCCCAGUAGUC